Artibeus jamaicensis (Jamaican fruit-eating bat) is the source of this 526-nucleotide long non-coding RNA. RefSeq lists it as uncharacterized. The transcript has 3 exons. The record is from RefSeq and is a predicted model, not a curated record. NCBI's taxonomy places the organism in Eukaryota, Metazoa, Chordata, Mammalia, Chiroptera, Phyllostomidae.
AUAACAGCGUCCGCCACCCAUCUGUUCUCUGUACGAGCUGUUCUUCUCUAAGGUUCUGCAUGCAAGUGCGACCAUAAGGGACUUGACUUUAUCUGUCUGACUUACUUCACUCAGCACAACGCGCUCAAGGACCAUCCCUAGUGUUGCAGAUAGCAGGAGUUCCUUCUCUUUCAUGGCUGAAUGAUAUCCAUCGAUGAAGACUCAGAGAGUUUCCAUGUCUUGGUUACUGGUUUCAGUGGAUGUCACAGCGUCGCCGGAAGACUAAAGGGUGUGGCACUGCUGUGCCGAUGUUGCGUUUUUUGGAGUAGAGGACGGCACUGUGGUUAUGAAGGAGACUGUUCUUGUUCUAAGAGACACAAGCUGAAGAACCUGGGUGGGGGGCUCAGUGUCGGCACGCCCUCCGACACGCAGACAGCCCCAGCGGGAAGCGAGGGAUCCGGACUACGACUUGACAGAAGGCGCCAGAUUGGUUGCAGGUAUAACUCCUUGGAUUCACCACACACGAGCCAAGGCUGCAGCACCCCCC